Molecule: long non-coding RNA, 1621 nt
Organism: Piliocolobus tephrosceles (Ugandan red Colobus)
Lineage: Eukaryota; Metazoa; Chordata; Mammalia; Primates; Cercopithecidae
Exons: 4
Source: RefSeq, a predicted model, not a curated record
GCAGACUGCGGGGCCAGGCUCUCCAGUUAGAGUCAGCGCCUGGGCGGGUCCCGGAAGCCUCCGGCGCGGCUGGUUUUCAUCUGUGCUGCAGUGGAGCCUCACCUGUUAGUUUUAUGCUCUAGCCUGGAUUUGGAGACCCCAGGGAGAGGUGAGCUAGGAGCCCUGUCCCCUGGCCUGGGGCUCUGGGGCAUGGACUGUGCGACUGUCUCUAUCCUGCCACUGUUGCUGCUCCCUGAGUCAAAAUGGACCACGUUGCCGUUGUUUUGGGGUGUGCCCGAGUGCGCUGAGGACAGCUGGCUGGUCUCAGAACUGUGGCCCAUCCACCCCUUCCCUCAAGACAAGAGUGUGGCCAAGCAUCAACCUCACCCCCAGAGACCAGACAGUAUCCAGGUCUUGGGCAGAUGAAACUUGCUCCUUGGGGAUGGUCUUUCUGGCUGUGCUUCCAAAGGGCUGGCCUGCAAUCAGCUGGUUUUCACUUGAUCCUUUCGAGGUUUGCAUUUUAUCUGACUGAAGGAAUGAACUGGGAGAGAACAGCAGAGCCACAGCGGAAUGUGGAAAGGCCUGCAUCGAGACUGUUCCCAUCCUGGCAGGUGGUGGGGACAGGUAUCUUGUCUUCUGGGUCUGUUGUCCCACGUGGAGCCCGGUGACCCUGCUAUAAGAGUGCCCUCAGCUGCAUAGCAUAAGGACCAGAACACAGCAGACUCUCCUUAGGCUGUGAUUGGCCACUAGCAUUGCAUUCCUGCUCCACUCUCCAAGUGUAAAUACUUACUCUCGAUUUUCUUUAUCCUCAUUUCCCAGGGAAUGAAGAUGACCACAAAGUUACAGGCGAGACGAGCAAAUUUCCGCCAGAGCUAGACAAGAGGGGUCAGGAUUAGAUGUCAUAUUCAUGAAGAUGGCAAUGACUGUGCAGUACUAGGCACCUAAAUGUAGUAUACCAGAUACUCCCUCUGGUAAUCCCUUUAAUUAUGGAUUAUGGCUUCAUAGGCCUUUAAGCUGCACUAGAACCAAAGUAGCUCCCUUCUCUGUGCUCCUAACCAGGUGAAUGGACACCGGCUUUGGAUAAAUAAUGCAAGCUGUGGUCCCAUAGAAUAUGCACCUUAAUAUAGACACCACCCAGUCUGUGGUAUCUGUAUUGAGGUGCGUAUUCUAUAGGGUUGCAGUUUGCAUUAGCCAUCCCAUUCCUGAUGUGGGGUAUCUCUUGCUCUUUGAGAAAAGAAAAAGUUUAACUUUUGGCAAUUACAUCUUAAAACCACAACACACAGUAGAAAUUACUUGAGGAAUGAUAUAUGAAUAAAUCCACUUGAUCUUGCCAUAAACCUAAGGGGUUUCUGAGAGUGUGCCCCAGGAAUCCGGAUGCCUAACGAACUCCCCAGGUGAUUACAAGCACAUCCCUGUUUAAGGACCAAGAGUUUAGAGCCUACCCUGAAAAUGAGCCCCACUCUAAUGUGUGACUUGCCUCCUGCUACAGCCUCUUUCCUGGAUAGAGCUGUCGGGGAUAAGGUCUAAAAAUUUGUCUUGUAGUUUUGGCUGGGUGUGGUGGCUCACGCCUGUAAUCCCAACACUUUGGGAGGCCGAGGUGGGCAGAUCACGACGUCAGGAGUUCGAGACCAGCCUGGCCAAU